RNAcentral lists this small RNA (376 nucleotides) under Histoplasma capsulatum var. duboisii H88. Its description in RNAcentral is "Histoplasma capsulatum H88 hypothetical RNA". Lineage: Eukaryota; Fungi; Ascomycota; Eurotiomycetes; Onygenales; Ajellomycetaceae. The record is from RNAcentral.
CCAGCCACUUCUGGGCAGCCAAAGCUUACAAAGCUUACAUCUGCUGCCUCAAAUGGAAUUGGAGAUUGGAUCCGCCAGUCACAUCACAUAUAUCAGCAAGGAAAAGCGGUGAUGCGUUGUCGAUUUCCGGGAACUUGGGGAUGAUGCCCAAGCCGGAAGAUGUGAUGGCAUCAAUCUGGUUUUCUGUUCGGGACCUAACAGGAAGCAAACCAACAAAUGGGUCCCGUAUGUUGGCUGUACAACGCACGGAUUUGUGCAGACUUCCCAAUAACAGCGAUGGGAAAAGGCGCUGGUCAUGAUAACACUGCCAGGUAUCUGAAAUAUCGGCAGUAGCCUUAAAAUGGGAUUUUACAUAGUGUCUGACGAUCGUUUUCAA